UCUGUACUCUAUUUCUCCAUAACUCCUUCAGAUCAUUGAUUAAAGAUCGUAGAUACAUAUCAAUUUCAUUACCUAAUGCUUUCGGACGUGGAAUCAAUAGUGACAUAAAAAUAAAUGAUUCUUUCAUGCACUUCCAAGGUGACACAUUAUAUGGUAUUAGCAUCACAGGCUACAUGUUGUAGGAAAUACUCAAAUUGUCAAAGAAACUAAAUCCAUCUAUUGCUAGACC
RNAcentral lists this long non-coding RNA (229 nucleotides) under Elaeis guineensis (African oil palm). Its description in RNAcentral is "long non-coding RNA (EGUI_LNC046122)". Lineage: Eukaryota; Viridiplantae; Streptophyta; Magnoliopsida; Arecales; Arecaceae. The record is from RNAcentral.